Molecule: ribosomal RNA, 328 nt
Filed under: Naganishia albida
Lineage: Eukaryota; Fungi; Basidiomycota; Tremellomycetes; Filobasidiales; Filobasidiaceae
Description: partial large subunit ribosomal RNA
Rfam family: Eukaryotic large subunit ribosomal RNA
Source: RNAcentral
AGACCGAUAGCGAACAAGUACCGUGAGGGAAAGAUGAAAAGCACUUUGGAAAGAGAGUUAAACAGUACGUGAAAUUGUUGAAAGGGAAACGAUUGAAGUCAGUCAUGCUCUUGGGACUUACCUCCCUUGAGUGGGGUCAACAUCAGUUUUGAUCGAUGGAUAAAGGCACGGGGAAGGUAGCACUCUCGGGUGAACUUAUAGCCUCGCGUCAUAUACAUUGAUUGGGACUGAGGAACGCAGCAUGCCUUAUGGCCGGGAUUCGUCCACGUACAUGCUUAGGAUGUUGACAUAAUGGCUUUAAACGACCCGUCUUGAAACACGGACCAAG